CCCCUAAAAUUCCUUUCAUGUGCAAUGAAAGUCCUGGGACUUAGACCUGACCAGCACAGCAGAAUUGGCAAACAGAAUUCUGAGUGAUGGGAAGCUUUCCCUGCAGAAAGGGAACAAACCCAGCCCUGUGGCCCAGCUGCCAGGUCCUACAGACACUCCUGACACCAGAACAAAGCACAUUUCCCAGGCACUGCCAAGUUCCACACACACACUGAAACCCAAGGCUUCCCCUGCCUCAACAGGGAUUUUCCUAAAGAAUCCAUCUCCUCUGCCAGGUUUUCUGCUGAAGAGGCACCUGUGGGGAGCAGAGCAGGGCUGGGCUGGUUUUUGUUUUCCAGAGACCUCUGAGCAGUGCAGAGCCAUCAGAGUCUGAGUUAUGGCUCCUCAGACUCAGGGAGGAAGAAGUUCCUUUGCAAGAUCUCAGAAGUAAGAGGCUGGCUGAAAAAUCCAGGCUGGACUUCAGAUUUGGAAAAUACCCAAACUAAAUGCUGCCCUGGAUUUUGCAAUGCUGCCUACUAGAAAUGCCACCUCCAGCUUCAGGCACAUCUCCAUUUCAUGGACAGCUUUAUGCUCAGCUCUGUGAAAUGCAGAAAAUGCUACAGAGUGCAGGUGUCUCUAACACUUCCUGGGAAACAGAAGCUGCAGUGAGGAGCACCAGCAUGGUACAAGUCUU
Passer domesticus (house sparrow) is the source of this 673-nucleotide long non-coding RNA. RefSeq lists it as uncharacterized. The transcript is spliced from 3 exons. Lineage: Eukaryota; Metazoa; Chordata; Aves; Passeriformes; Passeridae. The record is from RefSeq and is a predicted model, not a curated record.